ACGGGAGGCAGCAGUGGGGAAUAUUGCACAAUGGGGGAAACCCUGAUGCAGCGACGCCGCGUGAGUGAAGAAGUGUUUCGGUAUGUAAAGCUCUAUCAGCAGGAAAGAAAAUGACGGUACCUGACUAAGAAGCCCCGGCUAACUACGUGCCAGCAGCCGCGGUAAUACGUAGGGGGCAAGCGUUAUCCGGAUUCACUGGGUGUAAAGGGAGCGUAGACGGCUUUGCAAGUCUGAAGUGAAAGCCCGGGGCUCAACCCCGGAACUGCUUUGGAAACUGUAGAGCUGGAGUGCAGGAGAGGUAAGUGGAAUUCCUAGUGUAGCGGUGAAAUGCGCAGAUAUUAGGAGGAACACCAGUGGCGAAGGCGGCUUACUGGACUGUAACUGACGUUGAGGCUCGAAGGCGUGGGGAGCAAACAGGAUUAGAUACCCUGGUA
RNAcentral lists this ribosomal RNA (434 nucleotides) under uncultured Clostridium sp. RNAcentral's name for it is "partial 16S ribosomal RNA". It matches the Rfam family "Bacterial small subunit ribosomal RNA", at positions 341 to 792 of the family's 1533-position model. Lineage: Bacteria; Bacillati; Bacillota; Clostridia; Eubacteriales; Clostridiaceae. The record is from RNAcentral.